This is a long non-coding RNA of Sebastes umbrosus (honeycomb rockfish), 329 nucleotides long. RefSeq lists it as uncharacterized. The record is from RefSeq and is a predicted model, not a curated record. Lineage: Eukaryota; Metazoa; Chordata; Actinopteri; Perciformes; Sebastidae. The transcript has 3 exons.
GAGAUUAAUAACACGGGAACCCAACAUCUGGUGAAGAUCCAUCAUUUAUCAGACUCAACUCAGUGUCUUCAUUGAGUGGUUUUACAUGCACACUAGUCCCCCAGUUAUGAUAUGAGUGUACCAAACAUGUCAGUGCAGGAAAUCAGUCCUGAGAUAUGAAUACUUUUACAUCAAAGACGUGUCUGAAGUUCUGAACUGUCGCCGAGGCUCAGACACUUGGAUAAUAUUAUUAGUACCAUGUAUACAUGGAGCUGAAUAACCAGGCUACACUAUGUGCCAAACCAGGAUAGUAGUGUGCAUUUAAACAUACUUUGUGUAUAAUUAUAAUU